AGGACCUCAUUUGGUUGAGAAAGCUGCAGAGACUUAAGAUUCUUGGUCUUAUGUGGUGCUUAUCCAUUGAAGAAUUACCUGAUGAAAUAGGAGAGCUCAAGGAGUUAAGGUUGUUGGAUGUGACAGGUUGUGAAAGGCUAAGAAGGAUACCUGUGAAUUUGAUUGGAAGGUUGAAGAAGUUAGAAGAGCUGUUGAUCGGGCAUCGCAGCUUUGAUGGAUGGGAUGUUGUUGGAUGUGACAGCACAGGAGGAAUGAAUGCAAGCCUAACAGAACUAAAUUCGUUGUCUCAGUUAGCCGUAUUAUCAUUGAGGAUACCGAAGGUUGAAUGCAUUCCCAGAGAUUUUGUUUUUCCCAGCUUGCUCAAAUAUCAUAUAAUAUUAGGGAAUGGGUUUGUGGCAGGAGGAUACCCAACCUCGACAAGAUUAAAUUUGGCUGGUACAUCCUUAAAUGUGAAGACAUUUGAGCAAUUAUUUUUACAUAAAUUAGAAUUUGUAGAAAUGCGGGGUUGUGGGGUUGUUUCCACUCUGUUUCCAGCAAGAUUGCGGCAAGGUUUAAAAAAUCUAAAGGAGGUGAUUGUUGACAGGUGUAAAUCAGUGGAAGAGGUAUUUGAAUUGGGUGAGGCUGAUGAAGGAAGCAGUGAGGAGAAGGAGCUGCCGUUGCUGUCAUCUUUAACAGAGUUAAAGCUGCGAGGGUUACCUGAGCUCAAAUGCAUAUGGAAGGGGCCCAUUGGACAUGUCAGCCUCCAAAGUCUUGCUCGUCUGUAUCUGAAUUCUCUCGAUAAACUGACAUUUAUCUUCACACCGUCCCUCGUUCAAAGUCUGCCAAAGCUAGAAAGCCUUCACAUAAGUAAAUGCGGUGAAUUGAAGAAUAUUAUCAGAAAAGAGUCGCGAACCUAGGCUGACGCGAGAGUGCGUACGCACUCAGAGGAACUGGCUNNNNNNNNNNNNNNNNNNNNNNNNNNNNNNNNNNNNNNNNNNNNNNNNNNNNNNNNNNNNNNNNNNNNNNNNNNNNNNNNNNNNNNNNNNNNNNNNNNNNGAUUGUUCGUGCUGACAAUUUAAAGCAAAUAUUUUACGGUGGAGAAGGAGAUGCACAUAACAGAGAUGGCAUUAUCAAGUUCCCUCAACUAAGAGAAUUGUCUCUUCGGCUCAGAUCAAAUUACAGCUUUUUAGGUCCACGGAAUUUUGAUGCUCAAUUGCCUUUGCAAUACUUAGCCAUUGAAGGCCACGAAGAAGUGGGUAAUUGGUUGGCACAGCUACAAGUACGUAAUUUAUAUUUCUCCACUUAAUUUAAAUUGUCAAUUGCGAUAAUUUAUUCUUUCUUCCUCCAAAUUUCUAAAAGUAAAGUAAUUGAUAAAUGCUAGGAAAUCCAAGUUUCAUUUUUUUUUUAAUUAUAUAACAAACAUAGUAACUUAUUUUUAUUUUUUUAUGAUUUGUUUUUUUAUCUAAACAUAUAUAAAUAUAAGAAAAUUAACUGCCUCAUUGUUGUUUGCGUUAUUAAUACCAAAAAUUAAUCAUAGAAAUCAUAUUAUCUGUUAGAUUUAAUGUAUAAGAACAUAAAUUUUGUGUUCAAGUAUUUAAUUAAUUACUAUUUUUAUUUUUAUUUUUUACAUGAAACUAAUUAUUAGGAGUUGUAUUAACCUUUUUUUUUCGCAAAAAUCUAAUUAUUAUUCAACUUAUCUCUAAUUAAGAAAAAAAAACUGAAACAAUAAUAUGUAAUCUCUAAGAAGUAUUUAAUCCUGUUUUUUUUUUUUUUUUUUCCUCCUAUUUAUACAUCAUAUAAAUUGUUCUCUGAUAAGAUGGUCGUCCAUGGGCAGCAAAACGACUUCUUACAAAGAUUAGAAUUUGUACGAGUGGACGAUUGUGGGGAUGUUCGCGCUCCGUUUCCAGCAAAAUUGUUGCGAGCUCUGAAAAAUCUGAAGGUGGAAAUUGAGGGCUGCAAAUCAUUGGAAGAGGUAUUUGAAUUGGGUGAGGCUGAUGAAGGAAGCAGUGAGGAGAAGGAGCUGCCUCUGCUGUCAUCUUUAACAAUGUUACAUCUAAACAGAUUACCUGAGCUCAAAUGUAUAUGGAAGGGGCCCACCAGACAUGUCAGCCUCCAAAGUCUUAUUUUUCUGGAUUUGUAUUCUCUCGACAAACUGACAUUUAUCUUCACAACGUCCCUCGCUCAAAGUCUGCCAAAGCUAGAAAGACUUGACAUACGUGAUUGCGGUGAAUUGAAGCAUGUUAUCAGAGAAGAGGAUGGUGAAAGGGAAAUAAUUCCAGAGUCUCCUCGCUUCCCAGAAUUAAAAACUCUCUACAUAUCUCACUGUGGUAAACUGGAAUAUGUCUUCCCUGUCUCUAUGUCUCCAAGCCUUCCGAACCUGGAAGAGAUGACGAUUUCUUAUGCUGACAAUUUAAAGCCAAUAUUUUACAGUGGAGAAGGAGAUGCACUCACCACAGUUGGCAUCAUCAAGUUCCCUCGACUAAGAAAAUUGUCUCUUUCAAAUUGCAGCUUUUUUGGUCCAAAUAAUUUUGCUGCCCAAUUGCCUUCUUUGCAAAUUCUAAAAAUUGAUGGCCACAAAGAAUUGAGAAAUUUGUUUGCACAGCUCCAAGUACGUCCUUUAUAUUUCUCCAAUAUUUUUUUUCCUUUUUAAUUUAAAUUGUCAACUUCAAUACAUGUUGAUUUCUUCCUUUAAAUUUCUGAAACUGAAGUAAUUGAUGAGUGGAGAUAAAUCCUUUAGCCAUCCACUAAAUUUAAAAGGAUUUGUCUAACUGUAUCAUUCCCUGUCUCUUGAUGCAGGGGUUGACAAAUUUGGAAACAUUAUGCUUGGAAUCCCUGCCUGACAUGAGGAGUAUAUGGAAGGGUCUCGUGCUGAGCAAAUUGACUACUUUGGAGGUGGUUAAGUGUAAGAGACUGACACAUGUAUUCACAUGCAGCAUGAUUGUCAGUCUAGUUCAACUGAAAGUUCUAAAGAUAUUGUCCUGUGAGGAAAUGGAGCAAAUCAUUGCUAAAGAUGAUGAUGAAAACUACCAGAUAUUGUUAGGAGAUCAUCUCCAAUCUUUAUGCUUUCCCAAUUUGUAUGGAAUUGAGAUUAGAGAAUGUAACAAGUUGAAGAGUCUCUUCCCAGUAGCCAUGGCUUCAGGUCUCCCAAAGCUGCAAACACUGAGAAUAAGUGAAGCCUCUCAAUUAUUGGGAGUAUUUGGGCAGGAUGAUCAUGCUUCACCUAUCAACGUUGAGAAGGAGAUGGUGCUUCCUAAUCUGUGGGAGCUGUCGCUAGAACAAUUAUCAAGUAUUGUCUGUUUUAGUUUCGGAACCUGUGAUUUCUUAUUCCCUUGUUUGGGGAAGUUGAAGGUCCAUCAAUGUCCAAAGUUGACCACAAAAUUUGCUACUACACCAGAUGGUUCAAUGAGUGCUCAAUCAGAGGUGCUGCUGAUUUGACUUGAUUUCUUGCCUCUCUUUUAGCGUGUUUGUUUCUUGUUUCCCUCAAUAAUAAGAUUUACAAGUUAAAAUGAGCAUGCCAUGCUUGACUUGGUUUUACAGGUAUAUGAAGUAGAUGAAGAUUCAAGCAUUAAUAGAGACUGGACCAGAAAUAACGGGUGGAAAGAAGAUGGAGACUCAUGUCUUUGAGCUGUGAAUAUAUUUGGACUUGAUGCUGUACUAUUUGUUCAAAAGUUUGAUAUCAUAUUUUCCUAGCAGAACAGUGUCAUGUUGAAUGGUUUUUUCGAGCACAUACCUUGCUGGAUUUUGCUAGAGAUUCUAAAUAUUCCUCUGAUUUCUAUACAUUUGAGCUCAGGUAACCCUUGCAGCGGUAACUCUGUUAAAGAUGACAGCAGCGGCAGCUCCUUCUCCUCACUGCUUCCUUCAUCAGAAGAUGGUGAUGAUGAUGAUGAUGAUUUCAAGGUUGGUGCUGCGAAUAUGUUUUUGAUUGGUGGAAGUAAUUCCUACUGUUUCAUUGGAAAUGGGAUACAAAUUGGCUUCACUUUGUAACAGUCUUAUUUAUCAAAAGAAGAUAUCGACUUAUCUAUAUAUGUGUGAAUAAGGUUAUCUGCUUGUUUACCCAUGUAAUGUAAUGUUGUGUGUUUAGUCAUUACUGUGCGAACCUCAAAAAAAUAAUGUUGCUUGACCAUUAUCGUACAAGCCUCCAGAAGUAGGGGCGUAUGUUGCUUGCCCAUUUGUGUUUCUUUUCAAGUGUGUGAACCUUAAAAAAUAAAGGCAUAAUGUUUAAUGUGUAUUGAAGGAAAGAAUCCCAAGUAAUUAGGAGAUAUACUGUAAUCAAUGGGAUUAAAUAAUUUACCAAAGUUAAUCCUAGAGUAUCUGAUUAUAUGUAAACUGUGUAUAUUGUUGGGAUAUUGCCAUUAUUGUGGCAAUACCCCACCACUAAUUGUGGCUUAGUGGAAGCAUCACUAAUGCCACAAUUAGUGGCAUGAUUUCGGGACCUAAGAAAUGCAUAUAAAGGAGGCUUAUAUUUGAGAGCAAGAGUGUGAGAGAAGAGAGAAUUGUGAGAGUGAAGUGACGAGAAGAAGAGAGAAAGAGGAGCUGCUGCCAUGGGCAGCAGCCCUGCUGCCAUAUGCAGCAGAGUGUGUGAACUGGGAGUUGAGUGAUCCUCCUCCAUGUAUUGUUUUGUAAACCUUUCUCUACCUCUAAUACAAUGACUCUCUCCCGUGGAUGUAGGCGGUUUUGCCGAAUCACGUUAAAUAUUGUGUCAGUGUGCUUACCCUCCGAUGAGCAACUAUCAGUACACCCCCGGUCCGCGCAUGGGGGUGACGGAAUUCCCCAACAAUUGGUAUCAGAGCACAUGGUUUAAAGGGGUGUUUGAUUUUUGCUCAAAAAUGAAAGUUGUCACAAUUGUGUUUUGACCAUACCACUGUGUAGAGAAGGAAGAGACGAAGCCACUGGUGAAAACGGCGUCAAAAUCGGACGUCGGACAUGACCGCACUCUCCAUCACUCUCCGGCAAGGCGUCUGCCCACGCGCGCAGACGCGCCCCACGCGUCUUCUUCACCCGGAUGGGUUGACCCGACCCGAAUACCAGUUGACCCGACCCAUGUGACUGACUCGGAUAUGGAUGACGUCAGCAUGACAUAAUUGUGAUGUCAGCAUGCACAGUAGGCAUGCCAGGGAUGACAUCAGCCUGAUGUAAGUGUGAUGUCAGCAUGCACAGUAGGCAUGCCAUGUCAUCAGACACAUCAUCGACCAGUCAGUAGACACGUCAGCACAGUGGGACCCACCUGCCACGUCACCAGCCACGAGUUGAGCCGAGCCGAGUUGAGCCGAGCCGAAUUGGAGCCGAGCCGAGACGCGAGCCGAGGGACAGGAUCCAGUGUAGCGGAUCCUAAGUGCAACCGGAUCUGAGAUUGAAUCUAAGCCGUUAAUCAGGCCAGAAUUGUUUUGAUCAAAUUGUAGCCGUCUGAAAUGCGAUUUGGACGAUUUCAGACUUGUUUCCAGCUAAUUUGAUCGUUCCGGAUGCAAUGGUACGGUCCGAUCAUUGAGAUUUGAGACCAAAAAUGGCGGUGGUUAAUUAUUAAAGAGAGAUUGCCCGAUCAGGAGGCAUCCGAUGGUCUUCAUGGUGGUCGAUGAAGAUGAAGAAGAAGGUGCACAUGUUUACCCAAUUACAUGUGCUGAACUGCUAAGUGGGGAGAAAUUUAACUGCCUUGAGGGAAGGCAAAAUUGGGACACUCUGGACACCCGAUCAAGUGGACAGUUAGAGGUGUAGAGUGAAAACUGAUGAAGACCAAUCUUGACGAAUCUAAGAACUGGUAGUCUCGUCAGAUGUUGAGAAAUCAUGUAUUAAACCAGUAUAUUCCAGAUCACUUGUAAAGGAAAACCGCAACAAAGCUAGCAAAUGGUUGUAUAUACGGAAAGACAGUACGAUGGAUAGAUAUGGCCUAAGAAGUUCUGUCUAGGAGAUUGGGUUUUAAGCGGGACCAGUGUGACCCCUCCAAUCUUUCCUGGGAACUUGCUUAGUGGAAGGAUUAUCCAUACGGUACUAUUUUCGUAUAUAUAGCAGUUUGUAAUGAAACAGUUGAAGACUAGCAGGAUGGCGGCACAAGGGAACAGUUGGGUUCCAAAGGUUCAAGGAUCUGAUGGAGUGGUGAUUUCUCCAAAGAAGUUAGAUUCGGUGACUGUGAUUUCUUGAGGGAGAAUUGAUGAAGACCCUGAUAAUGGAAGAGGAAUACAGCAAGAGGAUAAAGAUUGGCACCCUAUUUUGACUUGGACAGGUGUUGUGACAGGAUGAGCUGCUGUCAAACAUAAGCAAGGAAUAGGGAGAAAUUCUGGAGAACAGAAAAUGCACGAGGGCACACGGAGAUUGUGCAUGAGUACCCGUAAGAUUCAACGAGGUACUGUAAUGAGACAACAGGUGCAAGGAGAAGAAGUGUUCCCAGAUGAAGCUCAGAGCAGAGACUGUUAAAGUUUGUACAACAGGAAGUCUCUUGUGCUCUUAAUGAAGACAACAUGCGAAGACCUUUCCAAUGCAUGCAAGGAUGGAAAGAGAGCUGUUGCAGAGGCACCUAAUUGAGGGGGUGCAAAUGCCUAUGAUAAAAGGCGACCGCCUAUGAUGAAAGGCGAAGACACCAAAGAGAGUUGGUGUAGGUGGAGCUGUCAAGCAGAAAGGCACAGAAGCUCCAAACAUAGAAAUUGAGGUGGAGGAUUGCGAGGAGUAUACCACAACUUUCUCUUUCUAUGUAGUCAGUGGCAGCAAUCUCUCCCAUAGUGCACAUGGUGGUAGAGAAUUUUGGAGCCACUUUGAAGCAUCUCAGCUGAAGGAGGAUGCGACCGCCCCAUGACAACGGGCGAAGACACCUUAGAUGGAAGGUGUGUGAUGGCCAUGAUAGGAGCCCGGAUCAGACCGCCCUAUGACAACGGGCGAAGACACCUUAGAGAAGGUGUGAGGGCCUUGAUAUGAGCCCCAGAUCAGACUGUCCUAUGACAACGGGCGAAGACACCUAAGGAGAAGGUGUGUGGGCCACGAUAUGAGCCCAGUUCAGAACGCCCCAGAGCUAAAAUGAUGGCUGGAUAUAAGUGGACAGGUGUAUAGCCAAUGAAGUGGCUAUGAUGAGUAUGGAGACAGAUGCAGGAUUGACUUUCAUGGAUAUUGCCCCCAUGCUAAAGAUCAAUGAGCUAGAAGACAUUUGCCUUGGACAAUAAGUGUGUGACUUGUGGAGCAUUAAGACGCGGCUGCUAUGAAGGAGCAGAGGGCAUGCGCAGGUUCCCUGAACAAGUUGACUCUUGUCAAGGUGGUGAGCUCGGUAAUGGCAUUGUAAUACUCAGAGUAUGAAGAUAGAUAUGGAUCAACCUUUAUGGGCUGCCCCCAUGGUGAAAGGUGGAGAGCUACCUGGACUCUUACGACUAAGAGCGAGAGACUCACGGAGAAGUAAGGCGUGGUUCCUAGGGUGGAACAGAGGGCAUGCGCAACUCCUGGAUGAGUAGACUCUUGGAAGAGUGGUGAGCUUGUGAUCACAUUGAAAUACUCAAUGACUGUCGCACUUGGGAAUAUUCGUUUGAGGGGGUGUCAUAAGCCUUGGUGUAAGGCUUGAAAAAUCAUUCCGGACCGAGCAUGGUUGAUACGCUCGAAGGGGAAUGUUGUGUUGAAGACGCUCUCAGAAUGGAAGCUUGGAAGAGCUGCAAAAUGCAAGCUUGUGCUGAAGAAGCAAAAGGACAAUUGCCCACAUAAAUGGCAAAGGGGUGAUUGUUAGGAAAUUGCCAUUAUUGUGGCAAAUGCCCCACCCACCACUAUGCUUAGUGGAAUACUUAGUGGAAGCUUCAUUCAUGCCAUAAUUAGUGGCAGGAUUUCAGGACCCGUUGUCCCCUUGAUGUGCUGGAGAAGGCUACUAAGAAAUGCAUAUAAAGGAGGCUUAUAUUUGAGAGCAAGAGUGUGAGAGAAGAGAGAAUUGUGAGAGUGAAGUGACGAGAAGAAGAGAGAAAGAGGAGCUGCUGCCAUGGGCAGCAGCCCUGCUGCCAUAUGCAGCAGAGUGUGUGAACUGGGAGUUGAGUGAUCCUCCUCCAUGUAUUGUUUUGUAAACCUUUCUCUACCUCUAAUACAAUGACUCUCUCCCGUGGAUGUAGGCGGUUUUGCCGAAUCACGUUAAAUAUUGUGUCAGUGUGCUUACCCUCCGAUGAGCAACUAUCAGUACACCCCCGGUCCGCGCAUGGGGGUGACGGAAUUCCCCAACAUAUAUAUAUAUAUCGUGCUUCUUUGCAAUAUGAAGACACUGAAUACAGAAUACAAUAAUAUUAUCAUUCUGUUCAUGGUAUGUUCUGAGAACCUAGAAAUACAACCCAGUAAUCCACACAACCAAAUACCUCAUGGCGGGUGACGAAGACCAAAAGCUUCUUGAUCAAAACAAGAGCUCAAACUCUUUCAAGACCUCAGAACCAUGGGAGAACUCCAAUCAUUCACUUUUUCUCCAUCACUCAGAUCAACCAGGCGCUGUCCUCGUUUCAAAAUCGCUGAUGGAAGACAAUUACACAACAUGAGUACAGUCAAUGAGCAUGGCACUUACUAUAAAAAACAAGAAGGGCUUUGUAGAUGGAACUCUCAAGAGACCGACUCAUAAUCCUGAUGAGCAACAACAAUGAGACUGCUGUGACAUUCUUGUAAAAACCUGGCUGCUAGGAGCCAUGUCGAAGGAUAUCUUAGGCAGUGUCAUCCAUUGCAAGGACACAAGAGGUAUAUGGCUAGAGCUGAAAGAGAGAUUUUCUCAAACUAACGUAGUUUCAUUGUUCCAUAUAGAAAAUGCCAUUCAUGACUGUGAACAAAGUACAAACUCAGUCAUGUCCUUUUUCACGAAGCUCAAAAGCUGUGGGAUGAGAAGGAUGCCCUCUGUGCAUUCCCUCCUUGCAAUUGUGAGGCAGCUACCGCUGUUAAGGUUUUCAUGGAAACACAAAAAGACCAUGAAGUUCCUGAUGGGGCUUAACGAAAGCUAUGCACAGACCCGAAGCAAUAUAAUAGGCAUGGAUCCUCUUCCGAACCUGGACAAAGCCUAUGCAAUGGCUUUACUACAUGAGAAGCAGGCAGAGGCCUUUACUGGAAAGUCGAUGACACCAUCAGAAGCAUCUGCUUUUGCAGUAAAGAAGGUGACCUGUGAUUUUAACUCUACAGAAGGAGAAGCUAAAUUUUGUGAAAAAUGCAACAUGAAUAAUCACAACACAAAGAACUGCAGAGCUCAUCUCAAAUGCACAUAUUGCAAUGGAAAAGGACAUACCUAUGAUUAUUGUUGAAGGAGAAAGAACGCUACUGAAGGUGGACAAACAAGAUCGAAAGCAAAUCAUAUAGCCCCUCAAAAUAAUAGUAAGGAAGCUUUGCCUAAUUUCCCUUUCUCACGAGAAGAGUGCCAUCAACUUCUCAGUCAGCUUUUAACAAAAAUGAAGUCUGCCUCCGCCAAUCUAGUCAUUUUCGGUUUGCACACAGUAGUGAAGAAACAACAUGGAUACUGGAUAGUGGUGCAAGUGAUUAUAUUGUUUGUAACCCAAAUUUGCUUACCUCUCUAAAAUCAGUCCAUAACCGUUGGGUUAAGCUUCCUGAUGGAACCUCCACACACGUUACUCAUAUUGGCACAUUAUCUUUCUCUCCCCACUUUGUUCUUCAUAAUGUCCUUUAUGUCCCACUCUUCUAUCUCAAUUUGAUUUCUAUGAGCAAACUAGCAUUUGAUUCAUUCUAUAUUACUAUCUUUCUCAGACAAAUUUGUGUCAUACAGGACCUACGAUCGGGGAAGAUGAUUGGGAUGGGAACUGAGAAUGAGGGCCUUUACUGCCUCAAUUACUCAACGAAAGGAACAUGCAAUGCAGUACACACCAACACAAACAACUUGUGGCAUCAACGCCUUGGUCACCCUUCAAAUAAAGCAUCUUCAUUAUUUCCAUUCCUUGCCAAUAAAACUUGUAUUUCAAGUACUUGCUCUAUCUGUCCUUUAUCCAAACUCACUAGACAACCUUUCCCAUUAAGCACUACACAUAGUGAAUUUUGCUUUGAUUUAAUUCACAUUGAUAUUUGGGGUGGUUAUCAUGUCCCAUCUUCUUCUUCUGGUGCACAAUAUUUUUUAACCAUUGUUGAUGACCAUUUACGAAGCACAUGGGUAUAUUUGAUAAAAACACAAAUUUGAAGCACACAUUCUACUUAUUCAUUUUAUUCACUUGGUUGAAAAUCAGUUUGGAAAAAAUGUUAAAGUUGUAAGGAGUGAUAAUGGCCUAGAAUUUAAGAUUUCCUAAUUUUAUUCAUCUAAAGGCAUUAUCCAUCAAACUAGUUGCGUCAACACACCACAACAAAAUGGUGUGGCUGAGCGCAAACAUCGACAUUUGCUAAAUGUAGCUAGAGCUCUCUUUUUUCAAGCAACUCUACCAAAACAUUUUUGGAGGGAUGCCAUACUCACUGCGGCUUACUUGAUCAAGUUAUUCUUAAAGGGAAAACACCAUUUGAAAACCUUUUUCAUAAGGAACCAAGUUAUUCCCAUUUAAAGGUUUUUGGAUAUCAAUGUUUUGUGUCCACAUCCAACCCGUCCUAGCAAAUUUGAUCCCAGGUCCACAGAAUGUAUUUUUCUUGGCUACCCACAUGGCCAAAAAGGGUAUAAGGUUUAUAACUUGACAACUAAGAAAAUCCUCGUUUCAAGGGAUGUGAUUUUCUUUGAGCAUGUGUUUCCUUUUAAAACAAAUUCUGCUUCCCAUUUUUUGCCCCACUUACUAAUUUUCAUUCCUGCAAUUUCUCAUCCACAUUCCAUGCACAACUCCAUUCCUACACCUUAUCCUUAAAAUCCCCAAUCUUCUGCUGACCAUCACUUUCCUGAUACUACUCCACCCAUAGUUGUUAAAAUCUCGAUUUAACUCGUAAAAUCAUAUGAUUUUACGAGUCAAUAUAUGUUAUCGUGUUAAAUCAGCUUAAAAACUUGAAAAANNNNNNNNNNNNNNNNNNNNNNNNNNNNNNNNNNNNNNNNNNNNNNNNNNNNNNNNNNNNNNNNNNNNNNNNNNNNNNNNNNNNNNNNNNNNNNNNNNNNUAGUGUGCCGCACGUAUUUAAGUAUACUAACAAAAAGGUACCGCCAAAAUGAGCAGUGUGGCAGCGACAAGCUCGAGGGUGGUUAAGGGAAGGGUUAAACUGGGUUAUACAGUACUUGCAUGUUCUGAGAGUUUUGUUGUUAUUCUGGUUUAUGGAAAAAUGAGUUAUCAGCAAUCUUUGUGAUUCUAUGAUGGACUUCUGGUAAGAUUGAAGAGAGAAGGUUGUGUUUUGAUGGAGAAAAUGUGAGAAAGGGAGUUAAUCGUGGUGGAGAGUAAAAGCCAUAUCUUUUCUUUCUUCUAAUCUCUUAGUGACUAUCGAGAAAGCAAAUCUCUUAGUGACUAUCAAGAAAGCAAGACAGUUCUCUUUUCCAGUGAAGGGAAAUUUGCUACAAUGGUUUGUUUGACAGGACGGUUAAUGGGCUUGGAAAUUUUCUUAAAAAUAUCUCUCAUUUUUUCUGAAACUUUUCUUAAAAAUAUCUCUUAUUUUUUGCACACAUUUCUCCCUGAUGUGUGAAAUACAAAGAUAUUAGGAAUGAUUUCAGCUUGUAUUAGAAAAUUUAUUAAGAAUUUUUUUUUGUAAAAAUUUCAAAUUUCCUUACGAUUUUACGCUUUUACGAUCUGUUUUUACAAUCAGAGUUUAUUUUGUAUUUUCCAUGCCGUGUCAAAAAUAUGUUUUUGAAAACCUUGAUUCCACCCUCAGAUCCAAUUUCCACUCCACUUACUCCUUCUCUCACAAAUAUCAAUCCCUCCAUUACUUCUAAAAAUAAUCCCGCACUUGACACAUCUUUUAGUUCCAUUUCAUCACCUUUGCAACCUCCCAACUGCCUUCACCACAACCACGCAAGUCUUCUCGAGCCAUAAAACUUCCAACUGCAUUGCAGGGCUUUCAUAUUGAUGCAGCUCUUCCCUCAUGCCCCGAUCCGUCAGCUUCCUCGAACAAGGUCAUCUCUCUAGGUAUGGCUCAUAGCCUCUCUCAUAUCCUAUCUUAUGCUAAUCUUUCUUCCCCUCACAGAACCUUUACUACUAAUAUGACCAUACAAAGAAAGCCUACCUCAUUUUCUCAGGUAGUUAAGGACCCGAAAUGGAGAGCAGCUAUGCAGCAAGAGGUUCAAGCACUUCAUGCUAACAAGACUUGGAGUUUGGUUUCUCCUCCGGCUCACAAACGACCAAUUGGUUCUAAGUGGGUAUAUAAAAUCAAGUAUAAUCCCGAUGGCACAGUUGAGCGCUACAAGGCUAGGUUAGUGGCCAAUGGUUACAGCCAAGUUGAAGGGAUUGAUUAUAGGGAAACAUUUGCGCUAGUUGCUAAGCUCACAACAGUUCGUGUCUUACUCAGUCUUGCAGCCAUGCAGAAUUGGCACCUUCAUCAAUUGGACGUAAAUAAUGCGUUUCUCAAUGGAGAUCUCUAUGAAGAUGUUUACAUGUAGCUUCCUCCUGGCUUCGAACGAAAGGGGGAGAAUCAGGUUUGUAAGCUACACAAAUUAUUAUAUGGCCUGAAGCAAGCCUCAAGGCAAUGGUUUUUGAAGCUUUCCUCAGCCCUCAAAUAAGUUAGCUUCAAGCAAUCAUAGUCCGACUAUUCCUUGUUUGUCCGAAACCAUCAAGGUAUCUUCACAGCUUUGUUGGUCUAUGUCGAUGAUGUUAUUCUUGCAGGGAACAAUUUAGAAGACAUCACAAAGACCAAGUGCUUUCUCUCAAGCCACUUCAAACUGAAGGAUAUGAGACAAUUGAAAUACUUUCUUAUAAUAGAAGUAGCAAGAUCCAAGCACGGGAUUUCCUUGUGUCAAAGGAAAUAUGCAUUGGAAAUCCUUGAAGAUACAGGGUUCCUUGGUGCUAAACCUUCACGGUUUCCAGCUGAACAAAAUGUGACACUUAUACAAGGAGAUGAAGACUUAUUAGAAGACGCCUCCCAAUAUCGAAGACUGGUUGGACGUCUCAUUUAUCUAACCAUCACACGGCCAGACCUUGCAUACGCAGUUCAUAUACUUAGUCGGUUCAUGGACAAACCUAGGCAGCUUCACUUAGAAGCAGCACACAAGGUAUUGAGGUACAUCAAGCAAGCACCUGGUCAGGGAAUUCUCUUACCUUCCAAAGGGUCAUUGGAUUUAAGGGCAUAUUGUGAUGCAGACUGAGUUCAUUGCAAGGACACUAGAAAGUCAACAACUGGCUAUUGUAUUUUCCUUGGACAUGCUCCCAUUUCAUGGAAGACAAAGAAACAAAGUACAAUAUCAUAUUCGAGUGUAGAAGUUGAGUAUCAUUCCAUGGCUACUACAUGCUGUGAAAUAACAUGGCUGCAAUACAUUUUAAGGGACUUGAAUGUUAAGCAUGAGCAACCAGAUAAAUUGUUUUGUGACAAUAAGGCAGCAAUACACAUAGCCUCAAAUCUCGUGUUUCAUGAACCAAGCAUAUAGAAAUAGACUGUCAUCUGGUGCGAGAAAAGGUGCAGAAAGAAUUGGUUUAACCAGAGCACAUACGGACCAAGGAGCAACCAGCAGACAUAUUCACUAAGCCACUAAGUUCAAACCAGUUCUCCAUAUUACUGGGCAAGUUAGGAGUGAUCAACAUAAACUCUAACUUGAGAGGGAGUAUUGAAGGAAAGAAUCCCAAGUAAUUAGAUGAUAUACUAUAAUCAAUGGGAUGAAAUAAUUUACCAAAGUUAAUCCUAGAAUAGCUCCUAGAAUAUUUCCUAGAAUAGUGGAUGUGAUUGUAUGUAAACUGUGUAUAUAUAUGUCGUGCUUCUUUGCAAUAUGAAGACACUGAAUACAUAAUACAAUAAUAUUAUCAUUCUGUUCAGUGUGGACUUUCAUUCAUUCUCCUUUCUACGACUUGAGUAUUUUCUGCAUCAGCAUGUUUUCUCUAUUAAUUUGAUGUUCUGUUUCUAUUGCAUAAUGCAUUAUGCGGUUUUGGGCAUCAGCAAUGCCGCUCAAGAUCUUCAAUAAAUGUUAUUGUAUGAGUAUGUGAAUGUAUUUGGGCAUUCAAAUCUCAAGAUGACUGAGACUUGAUUUCAUGCUUUCCUAGCAGAACAAUCUCAUGUAGAAUGGUUUUUUCGAGCAGAUACCUUGCUAGAGAUUCUAAAAAAAAUUAAAAUCAAAAGUCAAAAAUAUAUUAAAUCAAUUUACGAAAGUCGUAUAUGAUAUAAUCUAACUUUAACUACUUCUUGAAAUCUCUUUGUUGUAAUCUUAAUUAUAUAUGCUUCAUAUUAUAUUUUAAAUUAAAACAUUUGUUAUUCUUACCAUAACAAAUUGUAAUGUGGGCAAGACUCAAGUUAUUAUGCAUUGAACUAUUCUCCUAUAAUGCAAUCCUUUUAUAGGUUGCAUAAAAGUUUAAUAUGGUCCUUGAAAUUUUUGUUUUUCAUAUUUAUUUAAUCCUAUAGUGUUAAAUUUUUAUAAUUCAAUCUUAAAACUUCAUUUUUAUCAUAUUUUUAGUUAUUGAAUGUUGAGAGGAGACAGGGAAUGUGGUGAGAAAACGGAGAAAAGAGAGGAUUUGACUGAUCAUAUUCUAGUAAUAAAAAGACCGAUUUUAAUAUCAAUAGAUUCAUCUUGAACAUGAGAGUUUCAUUAAAAUGAUAUUGUUAUUUAACCAUUAAUGAUCUUAAAUAAACAUUUACUUGAUUUAAAAAUGAAAAACCAAUCAGAAUCUAAAUUAAUUAUCGAGUCAUGAUCUACUUAUUUAACCAUUAAUUCUAGGUUUAAGAUUGAAAAUGAUAAAUUUCAGUUUGGUCUCUCAAUUUAUGCAAAAUUUAGUUUAGUUCCUAGAGCAUAAUCUGAGAUUCUGGAUAAAAUGUAAUGUUGAGAAAUUAUAGGGACAUGUUACUUAGUAGCUCAAAAAGAUAAGGGACUAAAAUGAACUUUGCAAACAAUUACAAUGUCGCCGCAUAUUUUUACCAAGUUUUUCAUUUCAGUCAUGUAUCUUUGAAUUCAACUCUUAUACUUAAAAAACAAAAUGCAAUUGAGUUUUAAUUUGGGCAUAAAGAGAUUCGAUUAUGAAAAAAAAAAAAUUUCAAAUAUCAAAUUGAAAAUUUUAAAAAAAUUCACUAUUAAAUUUCAAAUAUCAAAUUGCAUCAAGUGAUUUUUUGAGAUCAUUUCCCAAUUGAGGACGACAGACUACGGGAAAGAGGAGAUUGGUUGUGGUGGGGAUUGAAGCUGUGAUUUGGGAUCGGUUCAGCAUCUUCUGCUGAUAGGUUUAUCCAGCAGACUACAAGAGGUAAGAACCUGCUCUUAUAUAUCAUGCAAAGAAAUGGAUCAGAUCAGAGUUGCCAAACAUGAAAAGAGAACAAGAGCUAAAGCUGCAUAAAUUAACAGCUUAAUAAAAAGAAUACAAUUUUAUUGUGAUCUUUUGAAAAUAAAAGAGAAUAGAAAAAGGCUACAAAAUUCUUGGAGGCAUAGAAAGAGGUAUAAAUGAAUGAACUGUAAUAAUUGAACAAAGAAUUGAUAAAUAUAAAUAGAAAAAAAUAAAGAGCUCUGAAUUCUUAGAGAGAAAACCGUGAGAGUGAAAAAAGAAAAACAGGAAAAGAGGAAAAAAUAAAGAAAGAUGAAGAGAGUUGGAUAAAAUAAGUUAAAAUGUAAGAUUUACGCAUUGAUGUGUAUAAAUGUGUUUUUCUUAGCUUUAAUUUUCUGUUUUGUUGAAUAUUAGAGUUUUGAAGAUUGUGUUUUGGGUUUGAUUGAUGAAUUGAUUUGAAUAUUAUGUGUUAAUUGUUAUUGAUAAUGAGUUAUAUAGUUGAUUUUUAAAGAUUUUAAGUAAAAAUGAUGAUUUUGAGUUAUGGUUUGUUUUAAUGAUGAAUUUGAGUUAGAAAUCUUGAUAUAUCAAUAGUUGAUCUGUGAAAAUUCUGGGUUUGAGGUUGAAGAUCAUGAAAUUUCAGUUUGGUCCUUCAAUUUGUGAAAAUUUCAGUUUAGUUCCUAGAGCAUAAUCCAAGAUUCUAUAUAAAAUGUAAUGUUGAGAAAUUAUAGGGACAUGUUACUUAGUAGCUCAAAAAGAUAAGGAACUAAAAUGAACUUUUCAAAUAAUUACAGUGUCACUAUAUAGUUUUACGGAGUUUUUCAUUUCAGUUGUCUAUUUUUCAAUUCAACUCUUAUCCUUAAAAAAAAAAUGCAAUUGAGUUUUAAUUUUAGCAUAAAGAGAUUCAAUUAUGUAAAAAAAUAAUAAUAAUCCAAAUACCAAAUUGAAAAUUUUAAAAAAAAUUCACUAUUAACAUCCACAUCCACAAUAAAAUAAGUCUCGGUAAAUAAUAAUAAACAGAAAACUCUUUUAUCUUUUAAUAUAUAAUUUUGUAUUGUGACACAUAUUUUUUGAAUAAUUUUUUAUUUAAAAACAUAUUAAAAUAUUAUAUAUAUAAAAUAACAAGAAAUAUUAAAAAAUAUAUUAAUUAAAUAUUUUUAUAAAUUAAAUAUAAUUAUAAAAACCACUCUCACACAGUAAAAAAACAAAUAGCCUCGUUUUCAUACUAAUUUUCAUCUUCUAUUUUCUACAAGACUGGCUUUCUUCCUUCUUUAUCCCAUUCAUUUUUUUCUCCUUUUAUCAUGCUGUGAUUUUAAGAUUUUUAUUUUAAGUGUUUGAAUAACUAGUUGUUUUUUAAAAUAUUUUUUUAUUUUAAAAAUAUAUUAAAAUAAUAUAUUUUUUAUUUUUUAAAAAUUAUUUUUAAUAUCAAUAUAAAAAUAUAAAAAUUAAUUUAGAAUACAAAAAAUUAUUUUAUAAAAAAAUAAUUUAAAAAAUAAAAAACAAACACGCUAUUUCCCUCCUUAUUUGCUGCCGUGAUUUCAGGUCCUCUUUUCCUGCCUUAUUUGCAAGAGCAUGAAAAAAAUAAAUAAAACAAAAUGAAAUCAAACGAGCAUGGCUGUUAACAACUAAAAGUCAAAAUAUAGAGAAAAAUACUAUCGUAGUCUUUCCUUUUCUGGCUCCAACAACCUCUCCCUUUAUUUCCACGUCCCUAUCUUAUCUCAACCGUGCCUUUCCUCUUUUUUUUUUUUUUUUUUGUUUUUGAAAAGCCUUUUAAGCUUUCUCUCUCCCACUUUCUAUCCUUUCCUAAGGGUAGAUAAAGUUGAACACGUGGCGACCAUCUAUUAACUUUUGAAAUUACCUUUAUCUCCAUGUCACAGUAUUUUUUUUUAUGAAAAGUAAAUUAUUUGUUGAUAUUUGAUAGUAUGGUAAAAUAAAUUGAAAAAUAUUUUUCAAUAUUUAAUUAUGUUAUGUAAAAUAAACUGGAAAAUAACGUAUUAAUAUUAUUUUUUUCAAAUUUAUUAAAAUAACAAGUAACAAAUCUUACAAAUUAAAAAGUUGAAUGAGAAAGAAAUUAAAAAAAAUCUAAUUUCAUAAAUUAUCUCAAAUAAAAUAAAUAACAAUCAAAAUAAUGGAGAUCAAAUCUAAAAAUAAAAAACUUAAAAAAUGAUGAAAUUAAAAUAAUAAUAAUUACAAUUUCAUAAAUUAUUUCAAAUAGAAUAAGUAACAAUUAAAAGAAUAAGGACCGAAUUUGAUAGAUAAAAAAUGAUGAAAUUAAAAUAAUAAUAAUUAUAAUUUCAUAAAUUAUUUCAAAUAGAAUAAGUAACAAUUAAAAGAAUAAGAACCGAAUUUGAUAGAUAAAAAAUUUCAAUUAAAAAAAUAAAAAGAGAAAAGCAAAUAACAAUCAUAAAAGUAAAGAUUAAAUUUAAUAUAAAAUGAAAUUCUAAGGAGUGAAAUUGAAAACAAAAAUAUUCAAAACAAAAUAUAUAGUAAUUAAAAGUUUGAGGAUCAAAUUUGUUAUAAUCAACAAAUAAUAUGAUAUUUUUAAAUUUUUUAUAAUUUCUGAAAAGUGUUUUCUGCUUAAAAUAAAAAAAAAUACUUUCCUAAAAAUUAAGUUAAUUUUUUUCACUAAAAAAUAUUUUUCAUUGAAUAAUUUUUUUAAUAACAAAUAAAUAUAAAGAAUUUAUAAAAAACUACUUUCUGUCAGCAAACUCUUUUCUCCUACUUUCUACCACUAUCUUAAUGUGCAGAUCAGGUUGAACAAGUGGCGAUAAUCUAUUGGUUACUUGGAUCAGCUGGUCACCGUGUCACAAAAAGAUUUAAAAUUCUCCUUUCAUUUACUCACGUUGUAAUAUUGGUACUUUCUCAUAAAUUUGUUUUUUUUUUAAACUGCAAUUUUUAAUUAUAAUCUGUAAUUAUAAUUUCUUAUGUAAUGAAAUUGUAAUCCCUAGUAUAAUGCAUAUUCUAGGGCAAGCACAUCACUCAAGAGCAAAGCACCUCGAUGAAAUAGCAAAAAAAAAAGAUUUGAAUGACUGAAAUAAAAUAAAACCACAAAAGAAGGAUGAAGAAAGUAACCGCACUCUGGAUGCCACCAAAAACCUAGUUUUUUUAGCUUUUAUUUAUUUAUUUAAUAUUGUAAUAGGUCAAUAGAAUUACCUCAGUGAGUGUGACACAGAUGAUCAUCAUAGAUAAUUUAUUUUUAAUUGCUUGAGUUUCAUCCUUUAUUGUGUUCAUUCCAGUAAUUCUAUUCUUUGCAAGUCUGUUCCUUUAUUGAUCUGUUUUUUUUUUUUUUUUUAAAAAGAAUAAAACUAAAAAAAACUUCGACCGAUCAUAGCUUAGAUUAGUUAAUUAUAUUUGUUGUUGGAAGCGAGCUAAGUGAUUAUCCUGAACCUUUCACUCGUUUCUUUCUUUGCUAGGUGAGUACUUUUAUACAUUUUUUUUUGUAUGUCACUGUCUCUAUAUGAUCUUAAUUAUGUCAUCAAAAUGCAUUUUUAAUGGGAAUUACUGCUUUAACUCACAAGUGUCAGUUAGAAUCCUUAUACCUUGCCUUGUUGCUUUUGAAGCUGGAUUCCAUACAGAGCUAGAGGCCUUCUCCUUUUCUUCCUCCCGCUAUUUCAUUGAUUGCCAGUGCUUUUCGCACAUAUUUUCCCAAAUUAAGGUAAUGGAAUUCCUAUUCCCAUUCUCUCUGCGCCUGUUUUACUUGUAGUGACUCACUCUCACGCUCUGUAUCCUUAUUUCUCUGAUUUUCAGACCGGUGGAAAAUGGAUAUCAUAAGUGCUGCUGGACCCAUUAUAUCCAAGAUAGCAGAUCUCUUGGUGGAACCAGUAGGAAGGCAGUUCCGUCACAUGUUCUAUUUCAACGAUUUUGUUAAAGAAUUCAAACAAAAAAAGGAGAACCUGGUUUCGGAAAAAGAACGUCUGCAUGACGAUGUCGAAGCUGCUGAAAGGAAUGCUGAAGAAAUUUACGAAGAUGUCAAAAAGUGGCUGGGAGAUGCAAAAAACGAAAUUGAAGGUGCGGAGCCCUUGGAAAAUGAAAUAGGAAAAAAUGGCAAAUGCUUCACUUGGUGUCCAAACUGCAUGCGACAAUUCAAGUUAAGCAAGGCACUGGCCAAGAAGUCGGAGACUUUCAGAGAACUUUUAGAAAAGAAGUUUACAAAAGUGUCCCACAGAGCUUAUCCUCAGCCCAUAGAAUUUCUCCCAUCAAAGGAAUUCAUGCCCUCAGAAUCGUCAGAAGAAGCUUUCAAACAGAUUAUGGAAGCUCUCAAAGAUGACAACGUCAAUAUGAUCGGACUGUGCGGCAUGGGAGGGGUGGGUAAAACCACCGUGGUGAAAGAAGUAGGCAAGAGAGCCAAAGAGUUGCAGCUGUUUGAUGAAGUUUUGAUGGCUACGGUGUCGCAGAAUCCAAAUGUCAUAGACAUUCAGAACCGAAUGGCAGAUAUGUUAGGUUUGAAAAUUGAAGAAAACAGUAAAGAAGGGAGAGCAGGUCGAUUAUGGCAGAGACUGAAGGAAGUGGAGAAGAUGCUUAUAAUCCUAGAUGAUGUUUGGGAAUUUAUUGACUUGAAAGAGAUAGGGAUCCCAUUUGGUGUUGAUCACGGGGGUUGUAAAAUUCUUCUAACAACACGUCGUCAAGGCGUAUGUUCUUCUAUGAACAGCCAGCAAAAAGUGUUCUUAAGAGAAUUACCUGAAAAAGAAGCAUGGGAUUUAUUCAGAAUCAAUGCAGGUUUACGUGAUGGGAACUCUACCUUGAACACAGUGGCAAGGGAGGUUGCGAGAGAAUGCCAAGGCUUGCCUAUAGCACUUGUGACAGUGGGAAGGGCUCUAAGAGAUGCAUCUGCAGUUCAGUGGGAAUUAGCGUCUAGACAGCUCAAAGAAUCUCAAUUUGCGCGCAUGGAACAAAUUGACGAAAAAAAUAAUGCUUAUACAUGUCUUAAGUUGAGCUAUGAUUAUUUGAAGCUCGAGGAAACCAAGUCAUGUUUCGUGCUAUGCUGUUUAUUUCCAGAAGACUAUGAUAUUCCAAUCGAGGACUUGACGAGAUAUGCAGUUGGUUAUGGGUUACAUCAAGAUGCGGAGUCCAUUGAAGAUGCAAGGAAACGAGUUUUUGUGGCAAUCGAAUACCUCAAAGAUUGUUGCAUGCUGUUGGGCACUGAAACUGAAGAACAUGUGAAAAUGCAUGACUUGGUUCGUGACUUUGCUAUUCAGGUAGCAUCAUCAGAAGAAUAUGGAUUCAUGGUAAAGGCUGGCAUUGGGUUGAAGAAGUGGCCAAUGGGCAAUAAAAGCUUUGAAGGUUGUAAAACAAUUUCGUUAAUGGGCAAUAAACUAGCAGAACUUCCUGAAGGAUUGGAAUGUCCAAAGCUCAAAGUUCUAUUGUUAGAAGUGGAUUCUGGUUUGAAUGUUCCAGAGAGUUUUUUUGAAGGGAUGAAAGAAAUUGAAGUUUUGUCUCUGAAGGGAGGGCGUUUGUCAUUGCAAUCACUUGAACUCUCAACGAAACUUCAAUCGUUGGUGUUGAUCAGGUGUGGAUGCAAGGACCUCAUUUGGUUGAGAAAGCUGCAGAGACUUAAGAUUCUUGGUCUUAUGUGGUGCUCAUCCAUUGAAGAAUUACCUGAUGAAAUAGGAGAGCUCAAGGAGUUAAGGUUGUUGGAUGUGACAGGUUGUGAAAGGCUAAGAAGGAUCCCUGUGAAUUUGAUUGGAAGGUUGAAGAAGUUAGAAGAAUUGUUGAUCGGGAAAGACAGCUUUGAGGGAUGGGACAGCACAGGAGGAAUGAAUGCAAGCCUGACAGAACUAAAUUCGUUGUCUCAGUUAGCGGUAUUAUCAUUGAAGAUACCGAAGGUUGAAUGCAUUCCCAGAGAUUUUGUUUUUCCAGUUAGCUUGCGCAAAUAUGAUAUAAUAUUAGGGUAUGGGUUUGUGAGAGGAGGAUACCCAACCUCGACAAGAUUAAUUUUGGGUGGUACAUCCUUAAAUGCGAAGACAUUUGAGCAAUUGUUUUUACAUAAAUUAGAAUCUGUAGAAGUGAGGGAUUGUGGGGAUGUUUUCACUCUGUUUCCAGCAAGAUUGCGGCAAGGUUUAAAAAAUCUAAGGAGGGUAGAAAUUGAGGACUGCAAAUCAUUGGAAGAGGUAUUUGAAUUGGGUGAGGCUGAUGAUGGAAGCAGUGAGGAGAAGGAGCUAC
This 21327-nucleotide long non-coding RNA is filed under the name Populus trichocarpa (black cottonwood). RNAcentral describes it as "long non-coding RNA (PTRI_LNC004449)". The record is from RNAcentral. Lineage: Eukaryota; Viridiplantae; Streptophyta; Magnoliopsida; Malpighiales; Salicaceae.